Meriones unguiculatus (Mongolian gerbil) is the source of this 350-nucleotide long non-coding RNA. RefSeq lists it as uncharacterized. The transcript has 3 exons. The record is from RefSeq and is a predicted model, not a curated record. Lineage: Eukaryota; Metazoa; Chordata; Mammalia; Rodentia; Muridae.
AUUCAAUCAAGCCCAAGAUAAUUUUCAAGGUCCUGAAGCAGCUGAGUGCAACUGGUCUGAGGUCUGUUCAGCUUCAUCAUGAGACAUGAUAAAGAUAAUUCUGAAGUAACAUGUUCAUCAUGAAGUAAGAAGGAGAGCUAAAAUUGCUUCAGUUGAUAUUUGGAGAGAUUGAAGUGCCUAUCGAACAGACAAGAAGAAGCAUCAAACUCACGUAAUCCUCCAUAUCAGAGCUUGCCAAAUGUGGUCAUGUGUGUUUCCACACUCACCCGCAUCUCCCCAUACAUGUCCAGGACCUCAUCCCUUAGCUUAAACCGUUCUUCCUGUUCAACGUCUCUGAAGCUGAGGAUUCG